CGCUUAGUGCUUUUAUAUUAAGUAAAUUCUGCUCAGUGAAAUUUUUAAACAGCAGCGGUAUUUUGACCGUUCAAAGGUAGCAUAAUAAGUCUAGUAAUUGUAGACCUGUCAAUGGACCCAUGGGUUUAUUUUUAUGAAGAUUUAAUUGAAAAGAAAUUGAAAAAUAAGUAAAAAUUCUUUAUUUUUAUUUAAAAGACGAUAAGACCCUAGAACUUUUUAAUAAAAUUUAGGUGGGGAAUCUUAAAGGUUUUAAAAACAAACCAAUAUAAAAGUACUCUAGGGAUAACAGCUUUAUUUUAAAGAUUCUUUAAAGUUUGAGACCUCGAUGUUGAAUUAAGAAUAUUUAUCUUUCAGAAGAAGAUUAAUCUAGGUCUGUUCGACCUUAACCUCUU
This 392-nucleotide ribosomal RNA is filed under the name Architectonicidae sp. H44. RNAcentral's name for it is "partial 16S ribosomal RNA". Lineage: Eukaryota; Metazoa; Mollusca; Gastropoda; Architectonicidae. The record is from RNAcentral.